This 253-nucleotide ribosomal RNA is filed under the name uncultured bacterium. RNAcentral describes it as "partial 16S ribosomal RNA". It matches the Rfam family "Bacterial small subunit ribosomal RNA", at positions 524 to 776 of the family's 1533-position model. The record is from RNAcentral.
UACAGAGGUCUCAAGCGUUGUUCGGAUUCAUUGGGCGUAAAGGGUGUGUAGGUGGCGCGCUAAGUCAGGUGUGAAAUCUUGGAGCUUAACUCCGAAACUGCAUUCGAUACUGCCGUGCUUGAGGACUGGAGAGGAGACUGGAAUUUACGGUGUAGCGGUGAAAUGCGUAGAUAUCGUAAGGAAGACCAGUGGCGAAGGCGGGUCUCUGGACAGUUCCUGACGCUGAGGCACGAAGGCCAGGGGAGCAAACGGG